RNAcentral lists this unclassified non-coding RNA (281 nucleotides) under Hevea brasiliensis (rubber tree). The record is from RNAcentral. Lineage: Eukaryota; Viridiplantae; Streptophyta; Magnoliopsida; Malpighiales; Euphorbiaceae.
GCCAAUACGUCUUAAUAGUAUACAAUCAUAAAACUCUAUAGGAAGUUGCGGUAGACGCACCCAAACAGCCGUGUAAGUUAAUUUGGAUUUUUCUGGGUUGAAAUUAGGAACCCAUCUUUGAAUUGAUAAGAAAUGACCAUUAAUGAACCACGGGCCAUUUUGCUGGACAUAAGAGCGUUAUCCUCGUCUGCUAGUUUUACCGUGAAAAAAUCUGACCUAGAUCAAUGAUUGAAAAAUUUUCGGGUAGCCGCCAGAGAGCUUGGAUUUUCUGCUUUUAAGUA